GGGACGAUACCUCAAACCGAGCCG
This 24-nucleotide non-coding RNA is filed under the name Cricetulus griseus (Chinese hamster). Lineage: Eukaryota; Metazoa; Chordata; Mammalia; Rodentia; Cricetidae. The record is from RNAcentral.